Molecule: small RNA, 28 nt
Filed under: Bombyx mori (domestic silkworm)
Lineage: Eukaryota; Metazoa; Arthropoda; Insecta; Lepidoptera; Bombycidae
Description: ovarian small RNA-4591
Source: RNAcentral
AUAGACUAGAAUGAUUUAUUGAGAGUAA